GGACUACUGGGGUUUCUAAUCCCGUUCGCUCCCCAUGCUGUCGUGUAUGAGCGUCAGUUGUGGGCCAGGACGCCGCCUUCGCCUCUGGUGUUCCUCCGGAUCUCUACGCAUUUUACCACUACACCCGGAAUUCCACGUCCCUCUCCCACCCUCUAGGUCCUCAGUCUGGCACACAGUUUCUGGGUUAAGCCCAGAGCUUUCAUGCACCACUUGAGGUCCCGCCUGCACACCCUUUACGCCCAGUAAAUCCGGAUAACGCUCGCCACCUACGUUUUACCGCGGCGGCUGGCAC
This 292-nucleotide ribosomal RNA is filed under the name uncultured bacterium. RNAcentral describes it as "partial 16S ribosomal RNA". The record is from RNAcentral.